Papaver somniferum (opium poppy) is the source of this 198-nucleotide long non-coding RNA. RefSeq lists it as uncharacterized. NCBI's taxonomy places the organism in Eukaryota, Viridiplantae, Streptophyta, Magnoliopsida, Ranunculales, Papaveraceae. The transcript is spliced from 3 exons. The record is from RefSeq and is a predicted model, not a curated record.
ACCGAAGCCAUUGGCUCAGAUUAUGAUCGUUACUUGCGUAAUUGAGGACUGCAGAUAGGCUUUGAAUUAGGUUCACCAUUCAAACCAUUCAAUCAGCUGAUGGGUGUCUUUCCAUCUGCAAGUUCCCUUGCGCUACCUGAGCAUUAUAGGAAAUUGAUGAGCGACCCAACUUCACCGAUUAUUGAUUUUUAUCCGACU